This 460-nucleotide ribosomal RNA is filed under the name uncultured bacterium. RNAcentral's name for it is "partial 16S ribosomal RNA". It matches the Rfam family "Bacterial small subunit ribosomal RNA", at positions 338 to 795 of the family's 1533-position model. The record is from RNAcentral.
CCUACGGGAGGCAGCAGUGAGGAAUAUUGGUCAAUGGACGAGAGUCUGAACCAGCCAAGUAGCGUGAAGGAUGACUGCCCUAUGGGUUGUAAACUUCUUUUAUAUGGGAAUAAAAUGUUCCACGUGUGGGAUUUUGUAUGUACCAUAUGAAUAAGGAUCGGCUAACUCCGUGCCAGCAGCCGCGGUAAUACGGAGGAUCCGAUCGUUAUCCGGAUUUAUUGGGUUUAAAGGAAGCGUAGGUGGAUUGUUAAGUCAGUUGUGAAAGUUUGCGGCUCAACCGUAAAAUUGCAGUUGAAACUGGCAGUCUUGAGUACAGUAGAGGUGGGCGGAAUUCGUGGUGUAGCGGUGAAAUGCUUAGAUAUCACGAAGAACUCCGAUUGCGAAGGCAGUUCACUGGACUGCAACUGACACUGAGGCUCGAAAGUGUGGGUAUCAAACAGGAUUAGAUACCCCUGUAGUC